RNAcentral lists this long non-coding RNA (1026 nucleotides) under Cyanistes caeruleus (blue tit). RNAcentral describes it as "lncRNA (ENSCCEG00000004849.1)". Lineage: Eukaryota; Metazoa; Chordata; Aves; Passeriformes; Paridae. The record is from RNAcentral.
UUUCUUACAACACCAGUGGUGCUCAACAAGGUGUUAUUUGUUGUAUGAGCUUAUUUUACAUGGGUUGUGGUCAACAUUGUUUUCUGUUGAGGUCAACUCGUUUAAGACAGAAGUAGAAAUAUGCUUCUGAACAAUUUCUAAUUAUUUUAAAUCACCUGAGGAUUAUAAAGCCUGUGGAUUUCCUAUUCCUGCCAUUGGAUGAAUAACAUACCAGGGAAAUUGUUCUUCCGGCGUUUGUCUGUAAUACUCUCUGCUACAGUUAUGACCAGACUCCACUGCAUUCCAUGCUGUCAACAAAUUGAUGAGGAAAUCACUGAUGAAGGCAACAUCACAUGCACUUACUUUCAAAUGUUACAUUACCUAAAACAUUCACGGUCUUCUUGAUUAUUUUUGCCCUGUGUUGAGAACCAUGAGAGGAGCCCCAAGAGACUAUCAGUCUUGUAGGUUGGGUGGCUUUGAGCUGCACACACCAGGAUCCUGUCUUUUCCUCCAAAAUAGACUGGUGAGAAAAAUGAUACAGGCAUGAGGUCAUUCUGUACUUCUACAGAAAUUGCUUUUUCCUAUGUAUUUAAAUACUCAGGGAAUAAUCUCUCUAUUCAAGUGAGGCCUACUACAUGAAGAUGGGCAAAGGUUCAGCUGAAGGGAAAGAAAAAUAUAUUCUUGUACCAGGAAAUUUUCCUGCCUGAACCAGUGGGGAACAGAUUUGUGGCUUAUUUUCUGGAAAGCCUUGGGACCUGGAAGAACGGGUAAGCAUCUGUCAAACAGACAUACACAAAUCACUCAUUUCCCUCAGCAACUCAAGUCAGGAAUGUUUUUGUUUUCCUUCAGGGGUUUCAGUUAUAGGGAAAGGACUUAAAGGUCUGUGAAAGAAGUCUUCAAGUGGAGAAGUUACACUGCCUAAGCGUGCUGGUGAUGCCAGGUUACACAUCCCCCUGCCCAAAGUCUGGGAGCCUGCUGUGUUUGUACUCUCUGUACCCUGACUCCUCAGCAGCAAAACACGGCUGGGUCCAGCACGGCUUCUUUAGA